AUGACGGAGCAACUGGAGGGUUUCAGGCACUCAGGACCCUUUCAGGCAUCCAGCAGUAGGAGAAGCUUGGCCAUUCUGGUACACAGAGGUCUCAUGAAUGGGAACAGUGUCUUAGAAGAGACCCCAGAGAGCUCCCUAGCGCCUUUAUGCCGAGUGAGGUUUAUAGCAAGAAGAUGGGGCUGUCCGUGAACCAGGAAGUGGGCUCUCGCCAGGCACGAAAUCUGCCAGCACCUGGAUCCUGGACUCGCAGCCUCCAGAACUGUGAGAAAUAAAUUUCUAUUGUUUUAAGCCACCCAGUCUAUGGUACUGUGUUACAGCAGCCCAAACAGACUAAGGCACUGAUGUUAAAAUCAUCUAAGGAAUUUUAAUUCAGUUCUA
This is a long non-coding RNA of Lynx canadensis (Canada lynx), 378 nucleotides long. RefSeq lists it as uncharacterized. The record is from RefSeq and is a predicted model, not a curated record. NCBI's taxonomy places the organism in Eukaryota, Metazoa, Chordata, Mammalia, Carnivora, Felidae. The transcript is spliced from 2 exons.